GUUGUAUGGUUAAGUGACUAAGCGUACACGGUGGAUGCCUGGGCAGUCAGAGGCGAUGAAGGACGUGCUAACCUGCGAUAAGCCAAGAGAAGAUGGUAAGAAUCACUAUACUCUUGGAUUUCCGAAUGGGGAAACCCAGCUGCAUAAGCAGUUAUCAGUAAGUGAAUACAUAGCUUGCUGAGGCGAACCGGGGGAACUGAAACAUCUAAGUACCCCGAGGAAGAGAAAUCAACCGAGAUUCCGGCAGUAGCGGCGAGCGAACCCGGAUUAGCCCUUAAGCUAGUUUUGCGACAGGUGAAUGAGCUGGAAAGCUCAGCGAUACAGGGUGAUAGCCCCGUAACCGGUAGCGCAUUGCGAGUGAAAUCGAGUAGGACGGGACACGUGAUAUCCUGUCUGAACAUGGGGGGACCAUCCUCCAAGGCUAAAUACUCCUGACUGACCGAUAGUGAACCAGUACCGUGAGGGAAAGGCGAAAAGAACCCCUGUGAGGGGAGUGAAAUAGAACCUGAAACCGUGUACGUACAAGCAGUAGGAGCCCUUCGGGGUGACUGCGUACCUUUUGUAUAAUGGGUCAGCGACUUAAUUUUAGUAGCAAGGUUAACCGAUUAGGGGAGCCGUAGGGAAACCGAGUCUUAACUGGGCGUACAGUUGCUAGGAUUAGACCCGAAACCAGGUGAUCUAGCCAUGGGCAGGUUGAAGGUGAGGUAACACUUACUGGAGGACCGAACCGACUAAUGUUGAAAAAUUAGCGGAUGACUUGUGGCUAGGGGUGAAAGGCCAAUCAAACCUGGAGAUAGCUGGUUCUCCCCGAAAGCUAUUUAGGUAGCGCCUCGGACGAAUACUACUGGGGGUAGAGCACUGUUAAGGCUAGGGGGUCAUCCCGACUUACCAACCCUUUGCAAACUCCGAAUACCAGUAAGUACUAUCCGGGAGACACACGGCGGGUGCUAACGUCCGUCGUGGAGAGGGAAACAACCCAGACCGCCAGCUAAGGUCCCAAAGUUAUAGCUAAGUGGGAAACGAUGUGGGAAGGCUCAGACAGCCAGGAUGUUGGCUUAGAAGCAGCCAUCAUUUAAAGAAAGCGUAAUAGCUCACUGGUCGAGUCGGCCUGCGCGGAAGAUUUAACGGGGCUAAGCUAUACACCGAAGCUGCGGCAAUGCAAUUUAUUGUAUUGGGUAGGGGAGCGUUCUGUAAGCGGUUGAAGGUGCAUCGUAAGGUGUGCUGGACGUAUCAGAAGUGCGAAUGCUGACAUGAGUAACGAUAAAGGGAGUGAAAAACUCCCUCGCCGGAAGACCAAGGGUUCCUGUCCAACGUUAAUCGGGGCAGGGUGAGUCGACCCCUAAGGCGAGGCCGAAAGGCGUAGUCGAUGGGAAACGGGUUAAUAUUCCCGUACUUCUUACUAUUGCGAUGGGGGGACGGAGAAGGCUAGGUGGGCCUGGCGACGGUUGUCCAGGUUCAAGGGUGUAGGCUG
RNAcentral lists this ribosomal RNA (1471 nucleotides) under Photobacterium gaetbulicola. RNAcentral's name for it is "bacterial LSU rRNA". It matches the Rfam family "Bacterial large subunit ribosomal RNA", at positions 1 to 1527 of the family's 2925-position model. The record is from RNAcentral. Lineage: Bacteria; Pseudomonadati; Pseudomonadota; Gammaproteobacteria; Vibrionales; Vibrionaceae.